AUACGGAGGGUGCAAGCGUUACUCGGAAUCACUGGGCGUAAAGCGCGCGCAGGCGGCCAUUUAAGUUGGAUGUGAAAGCCUACGGCUCAACCGUAGAACUGCAUCCAAAACUAUUUGGCUAGAGUGUGGGAGAGGAAGAUGGAAUUAGUUGUGUAGGGGUAAAAUCCGUAGAGAUAACUAGGAAUACCAAAAGCGAAGGCAAUCUUCUGGAACACUACUGACGCUGAGGCGCGAAAGCGUGGGGAGCAAACGGGAUUAGAUACCCUUGUAGUCC
This 274-nucleotide ribosomal RNA is filed under the name uncultured bacterium. Its description in RNAcentral is "partial 16S ribosomal RNA". It matches the Rfam family "Bacterial small subunit ribosomal RNA", at positions 523 to 796 of the family's 1533-position model. The record is from RNAcentral.